UUCGCCUCUGGUUGCACUCCAACCAAAGUGUACAAGAUCAGUACAGUUUCAGAUCUGCAUCACUACCUCAACAUCAGUACAAAACAUAAAAGAUUUUCCAAAAAGAAAAGACCCACAUAGUAGCAGUACCUUUUAGUAAGUUGAACUCCAACAACAGAGCUGACAGUUUUUACAGGUAAAUUCAUCUGUUGCAGUGACUCUUUAAUUUGGAAAUUAAAUCAGCGGAGAGGUUGUUGAAAUAUUCAUUAAUACGUCCUUUCUAAUUUGUUCAUUCGAUUUUGGAUGGACAACUAAUUUAUGACAUGUAACCUUUCAUUUCUCUUAACUACAUAGUUCAAAAGGAAGUUGUUUGUAUGGAUCAGCAAGGUUGGUUCGAAAGGUUUGAAUUUUUUUUCGGAAUAUACUUUUCCUAUUCAAACUAAAGUUUUUUUUUUUUUGGUAAAUAAAUUUUAUUUAUUACCAAGUAAGCAGUACAAAGCAGAAUUACUCCAUACUGACAUCUCCCAAUAUGAAGUAGCCACAUUCUUCCAGCUACCUAGCUACUUUGCUACACAAGUUCAAACUAUCAUGCUACCAGGCCUUCUAGAUACAAGGGUAGUAGUUAACUCUAAGAAGUGCAUUUUGCACUCUGGGUUCUCUGCUGCCCCUCGCAUGAAGGUCAUGGAUAACCAUCCUCACAAGUACCUUAAGCUCCAUAGAUUUUUCCUGGAAAAUUCUCAAGUUCCUUUCCUGCCAAAUGACAUAAACACAGGCAGCUAAACUUGCUCUAUAGAGCAUAGCCUACGGUUGUUUGCCUCUACAAUGAUUUAUCACCUACGCUACUUCUUCCUCCCAUUUAGCAGGUGACCUUCCCACUCCUUGCCAUGAAAGAACCAGGUUCCAUAGGUGCGCAGAGAAAGUACAUUGAAAAAAUAAAUGACUAAUACUUUCAGGCUCACUUCCACAUAACACACACAUCUCAUCUUCAAUACAUCCCCACUUUACUAGUCUAUCUUUGGUCAGUAAUUUACCAAGCAGUCCCAAAUAAAGGAUGAAAAUCCAUUUAGGACAAGCUGUAGUAUUGCAUAUCAAUCUCCUCCACUCCACCUUCUGAUAUUCUCUCUUAGCUUCUGAUAUAGACUCUUUAUCAAAAAUCUCUCAAUCUGUUGCACUGCUAGCUCAGUCCAUUUAGCUGCUUUAAAGGUUUUAGUUGCCUGCAUUAUUUUCCCCACAAGCCAUGAUGCCUGAAGAGCUUGAACCCCCAUGGUGUUCCCUGUUUCCCAGAAACAUAAUAUAAGUGAACCCACUUCACCCAUAAUCUAUCUUUCUUCUUGCAUAAGUUCCAUAGAAGUUUGCUAAUUGCUGCUCUAUUCCAUGUCUGAAUAUCAAGAAAGUUCAAACCCCCUACUGCAUAAGGCCUACAUAACUGUUCCCAAGCAACCAGAGCUUUUUUAGAUAUGUCAACUCCUCCAGACCACAAAAAGUUUCUGCAUAAAGCUUCAAUACACUUAACAACUUUUUUGGGCAUAAUGAAUAUCUGAGACCAGAACAAUUGGAUGGAGAAUAAUAUACUUUUGAUGAGUUGAGCUCUGCCAGCAUAGGAUAGUAAUCUAGAAGUCCAACUCACAAUUUUCCCCAUAAUCUUGUCAAUUAAAGGUUGGUAUUGUAGGAUAGACACUUUUUUGGUACUUAGUGGCACACCUAAGUACCUAAAAGGUAAACUACCCUGUACAAAUUUAAGACUCUGUAAUACCUCUGUCUGAACCUUUUUUGGGACUCCACCAAAAUAUAUGGAGCUCUUCUCAUUGUUUGCAACCAAUCCUGAUAUUUGUGAGAACUCCAUGAAUACUCCAUAUAAUAAUCUGACUGAUAACGCAUCUCCUCUGCUGAACAAUAGUAAAUCAUCUGCAAAGCUUAAUUGGAUAAUUUGAAGUCUCUCACAUUUUGGGUGGUAAUUAAAAUUAGGAAUACCCCUCAGUUUCUUCAGCAGCCUAGAUAGAUAUUCCAUUAUCAACACAAACAGGUAUGGAGAUAAUGGAUCCCCCUGUCUCAAUCUUUUCUUGGUAGGAAAAGGAACACUGGGACAACCAUUUAGCAGGAUGGAAUAUAAUACAGUACUAAUACACUGAUAAAUCCAUUCCACAAACUUCUGAGGGAAUUGCAGUAACUCUAAAACCUGUCUCAGGUAUCCCCAUUCAACUGAGUCAUAAGCUUUCUUCAUAUCUAUUUUCAACAUACAUCGUGGGGAAAUUUGUUUUCUACCAUAGCCUUUGACUAAUUCAUUCCUCAGUAUAAUAUUAUCAUUUAUUAGUCUUCCAGGUACAAAAGCAGAUUGACUUUGGUCUACUAAAUCAUUCAUAACCCCCUGUAGUCUAUUGGUGAGAAUCUUAGCAAUAAUUUUAUAGAGCAAAGUAUAGCAAGAGAUAGGUGUAUAUUCAGUGAUUCUAUAUGGUCUAGCUGUUUUUGGCACUAGGGUCACAGUAGUAUAAUUUAUGGCUUUGUACAUUCUACCUGAGUUGAAGAACUCCAGGACUGCAUCUGUGAUCUCUUCCCCCACGAUGUGCCAUGACUGCUUGAAGAACAGGGCAUUGAAUCCAUCACAUCCUGGUGCUUUAUCAUCCCUUAUCCCCUGCAGAGCAUCCCUAACUUCUUAUCGUAAUACAGGCUCAACUAAAUGGAGUUGUUGAGCUCUAUUUAGAGUUUGACCAUCCCUCAUAACCACUGGAUUCACAGCAGGUAAACUAUUAGCACUAGUUCACAAUAGUUGUUUAUAGAAAUUCAGGAUCUCUCUUUCUAUGCCACAUCUCUUAGUCACCACCACUCCUUCAUUUGUAUUCAGACUUGUAAUACCAUUCUGAGCAUAUCUAUUCUUUAAGCAAGCGUGAAACUAAGUUGUAUUACCAUCCCCAAGUUGUAGCCAUUAGACCCUGGACUUUUUCUUGGCAAUACUCUCUUCCACCAAAAUCCACUUCUCUAGUCUAAUUUUGAGUUCUUUCUUCUCUUCUACACUACUCAUCGGCUACCCAGGUUGCUUCAUAGUGCUUUGUAAAUCUAUCAGCUUCUGUCUACACUUUUUAAUUUUGUCCUCCACUCCUCUAAACUCAGUAUUAUGCAGGUUCCUCAGUGCCUGCUUCACAGUUUUUAACUUCUGCCAUACUACCUUUAAUGUUACUCCUCCCCCAAGCUGUUACAACCACUUUAUGAAAUUUCUCAUGUUUGACAAGGUGAUUCAGGAACCUAAAUGGGUUAGGUCUCUUGUCUUCCUCUUGUGCUAGUAAAAGACUCAAGGGUGAGUGGUCAGAGCAUCCUAGGUCCAUUACCAUCACCUUAACUAUUGGAAUAUAAAGCAUCCAUUUUGCAUUCAUCAAUGCCCAGUCAAUCCUACUGUACGUAUGCCCACUAGACCAUGUGUAUUCCCUAUCAUUAUGCUUUAAAAUAUUCAUGCCAAUAUCUUCACUGAAUGUGCUGAAAUCUUUGAUUUCAGCCUCAUGAACCUGCGCCCCAAUCAUUUUAUCCUCCUCCCUAUAUAUAACAUUAAAAUCUCCCAUAGCAACCUAAGCUGUACUAGUACCAGCAUGUGUCUGUCUUAAGUCAGUCCAUAAAUGUUUUUUAGUUUCAACUGAGUGCAGCCCAUAUAUAGCAGUAAAUAAAAACUUGUAGCUCACUGCCUGAAACUGUAUUGCCACAUAAAUAUAUUGCUCUUGACUCUUCACCAAACUUCAAUCUACAAUUUUAGGAUCCCAAAUGAUCCAAAUUCUUCCUUUGUCGCUGGAUGCAUAGUUAUCUAGAAAAAUCCACCCAGGAGCUAUUUUAUUAACUACUCUUCUAGCAUGGUGAGCUUUAAUCUUGUGUUCAAGUAGAGCAAGAACACUAAUUUUAUUUUGCCUGAUAAACAAACCUACCUCCUUUUACUUGUAAACUUUAUUCAUACCCCUAAUAUUCCAAGUAGCUAGUAUUAUCUAUGCACAGGUAUUGUAGUAUUCUUAUCCCUACCCUUCUUCUCCUCCAAACCACAUCUAUUAUGCCCUCCUCCAAAUCUAGUAUCAUGCUAAUGUAGGGCAUUGAACACAUUGACUGAAGUGAUCUGAGUUUCAGCUUCUACCUGUUUUUGCAUUUCCUCUUACCUUUGUCCAUUCUUUUCCACUCAAUGGCUCAUUUCCAUCUUCUACAACCUUUUAUUGAUUCAGAGGCUUUGUAUUUUGACCUCUCAUUACUGUGGCAUCUGGAUUUUUAGUGCCGCUAGGUCCCGGACCAUCUAUAGCUUUCCCCUUACCUCUGACCUCUGGUGCAUCCUUGGUCUCUUGUCCUUGUUUGGUGUGUCAUACUACCUUCUGUAUCCCAUGCCUCCCCUUAGGUUUGGCUGCGUUAUCCUCUUUUGCCUGACAUUUGUGCCCUACAUUCAAACACUUGGGUAGUAUAAUGGCACCCACUCAUACUCAAUUGGUUGACCAAAUAUUCUACCAGUAGGGUCCUCCACCUUUAUUUCCUUGGGAAAGUCCUUCGUUAUAUCCAUCUCUACCAGUACACGUGCAUAUGAGAUACGAUCAACCGUUGUAGUACAAUUAUCAGCAUACAAAGGAACCCCUAGUCCACUUCCAAUUCGGCUAAGAGACUGCAUCUCCCAGCAAUAGAUUGAUUGGGUUGGUUCAAAAGCUUCGAAUUUUUGUUCGACAUAUGUUUCUCUUAUUUAAACUGACGUUAUCCAUACAAAUAUCUAAAGUAUUGGUACGACCUGAUACAUUUCCUGAUAAAGGAAUCAGUAGACUUGAUUUUCGAGCCAGCUGCAAUAUUUUCGGCUGCUGGCUUGCAACACCCGCUGUUUUUCCAUCCUGUACCGGCAGCUUUUAUCAGUUUUUUUCUCUUUUAUUAUGUAUGUUGAUACCUAAUUCAUCUUCUAUUUUGACAAUGCAAUAGCGGAUACCAUAAUGGAUCAUCACAAAAGAAACCACAGACUGGACCUGCAAGUUUCAGGAACAACAGGUUUCCAUAGUGCUAUACGGCGAUGACAUUCCCAAAUACGAGAACUUCUUCCUCCUUUUCCAUGUAUAUCUUAUUUCUUGUGCGAAAGAUAGGGAUCCCCAUGGCUACUUGAUAUAAGCCGGUACGUACGAAUGGGUAGCUGACAAAUACACAAUUAUUGAGCCGAUUACCAACAACGAUGGAUUGGAAGCACCACUGCCUGCUCCAGAAAAGUUGAGCACACUUUCUUUCUCAGCGAUUGAACAACAACAUCCAGGUGCUGAAUUUGACUUACUGGCAGUAGUAGUUAACUGCAGCGCCCUGCAAUACACAGCUAACCAGAGCAAACACUUUUGAGAAGCGAUUGUGAAGGAUCAAAGCAAGAAACCUUUUCUAUUUACUAUAUCGGAUGACCUAGCUGAAAAUGAAAGGACUCCCUUAUUGGAUCACCUAUACGAGCAUCCCGUCAUUCUUGACAAGCGUAUAGGCAUCACUGAAUUCCGUGGCGUGAGAUUGGCAACAAGAUAUCAAACAACAAUUUUACCAAAUCCUCAAUACGUGUAGGCAAUUACACUGAUGAACUGGGUGAAGCAGAACGAACAAAUGUUGUCGUCUUAUACUUUAAGAAGCUCCUCAUCAUCAACCUCCUCACUGAAUCUUGCACCUAUUAAUCAAGUACAAUCUGUAUCCACCAUUCGACAAUCGUUGUCUACGGUACAAGCUAUUCCUGUGGAAGGCAGAAUAUCGUUUCGCGAUCAUUCUUAAUCACUUUACUUUCUUGCCUGUUCAAACUGCAAUCACUAUGUAAGUCCUAAAACAAAAAAUGGUCCACUGUUUCAACUAUAAACUACACCGGCCAUUGGUCCCCAGGUGCGACUUCAACAUUGACAUCACAGAUUCCAACGGGACAAUUACAGCAACAGUGUCAGAAGCGUUAGCAGAAAGAAUAUUGUCCCUAACUGUCGAUCAAAUAUGACAUAGUUGUUGUCCAGGUAUAAAAAUACAUAGUAUUACCUACGGCGAAACUCCUCUUACAAUUUCAUUCCACCAGUAACUCCUAUUUAAUGUACUAUCUUUUACCUUUUCCACUUAGAAACAACCACUGUCUAUUGCCGGUAUAAAUCGCCAACUUGAUCGUAAACUGUUUAAACUCCAAUUAUAAAAGUCAGCUUUCAGAUUUCCAGACCAAAAACCAGAUGCGCUAGCUGUUGCGUCAUUCACUGAAACAGAACAAACAGGUAAGAGGCAGAAAAUUAAACCAUCCACACCCAUGAAAAAAGAUUGAAGGUAACAAUACUUUGAUAUUUCAUCUGCUACCAUACUCUGUUUCCUGUGUACCUGAGCAUGACAAUUACUCUUAACAUUUAUUAUGAAUUCAUUAUCUUUACCAUUUCAGCAUUACUAAUAACAAAUAAGCAGGUCUAACUUACACUAAAAAAUAUAAUAUAUACUCAACACAAUCAGGUAAAUAGAAUAAUCAUAUGCCCCUUUACUGCACCACCAGGAAAAACCAUUUACUUUUGGUGUUUCCAGCGGUUUACCUUGUAUUAGUUUUGGUUACUUUUGGCAUUUCCUUCAUCGAAUAUAUAAAUCGGUUUUAAAUUCUGCCUUGCUUUCUUUCGUCAUCUUCUUUAUCUCAGGUGAGUUUCAAUUUGUUACGGCUACAUAUACCUUUGUAAUGUUAAUACUUGCAGGUGGCUUAUUGAUAUAUUCACAACGCACGUAAGUUGUUUAAUGAAAAUCCUCCUAUCAUAAAACAGUAUGACAAAAAGCUACUUUGUUACUUUUGUUUUUGCCUGUAAGUUAAAAAUAAUGUACAAUGUAACUAUUCCAGAUUGGUUAAGCGCUAAAAUCUCGAGCAACAUUCUAUUCGGAAAUAAGCUACUUACAUGAACUAUCCAAUAUUUACAUCCUAAAAUAUACUCUUUUAUGUGGACAUUGUAAAAGAAUAAUUACAUCAGAAUGUGGACAUAUUCUUGGAUUAUGUAUUUUCUUGAGUUGUAACUUUUCCCCAAGGUUUUGUGGCGUGAUGCUAACUUAACCUUUCGAAUAAAAAGCUUACUUGGUUUCUCUUUAACUGUUGAUGUUUAAGUGCUAUAAAGUUUGGGACUUUCGGAGAAUUUGAUGGUUCAACUUCGGUUUUUACUAAGAAAUUUAGCCUCUUGUCUUUGUUUUUCGCAGGUAUGUGAAGAAGUUAUGGAACUUUAAUUAACCUACAGUACUCUGCAGCUGUAACUAUAUGGCAACCUUUCUUCACAUUUUGCUUAGAACUAUCCACUUCAUCAAAUGGUAUAGCAAAUACAGAUGCAUUUUGCUUCCCUAUACCAACAUCAAUUAGCAGGCUGCCUAAACUAACUUUUUGUCUUUUGAUGUAAACAACAAUCGACAUUUCAAUGUACAACCACUGUUUACCGUGAUUAUAUUGCUACUUUGUGAUACAGCCUAAUAUAAAUUGUCUCCGCUUAUCGUUCACCUCA
Long non-coding RNA from Capsicum annuum, 7415 nucleotides. RefSeq lists it as uncharacterized. Lineage: Eukaryota; Viridiplantae; Streptophyta; Magnoliopsida; Solanales; Solanaceae. The record is from RefSeq and is a predicted model, not a curated record. The transcript has 11 exons.